UCCUCAGUAGCUUAGUGGUUGAGCGGUCAUCUGUCAACUGAUUGGGCAUAGGUUUGAAUCCUACUUGGGGAG
RNAcentral lists this transfer RNA (72 nucleotides) under Capsicum annuum. It matches the Rfam family "tRNA". From Rfam's summary of the family: Transfer RNA (tRNA) molecules are approximately 80 nucleotides in length. Their secondary structure includes four short double-helical elements and three loops (D, anti-codon, and T loops). Further hydrogen bonds mediate the characteristic L-shaped molecular structure. tRNAs have two regions of fundamental functional importance: the anti-codon, which is responsible for specific mRNA codon recognition, and the 3' end, to which the tRNAs corresponding amino acid is attached (by aminoacyl-tRNA synthetases). tRNAs cope with the degeneracy of the genetic code in two manners: having more than one tRNA (with a specific anti-codon) for a particular amino acid; and 'wobble' base-pairing, i.e. permitting non-standard base-pairing at the 3rd anti-codon position. The record is from Rfam by way of RNAcentral. Lineage: Eukaryota; Viridiplantae; Streptophyta; Magnoliopsida; Solanales; Solanaceae.